This 251-nucleotide ribosomal RNA is filed under the name uncultured bacterium. RNAcentral describes it as "partial 16S ribosomal RNA". It matches the Rfam family "Bacterial small subunit ribosomal RNA", at positions 524 to 777 of the family's 1533-position model. The record is from RNAcentral.
UACAGGGGGGCAAGCGUUGUUCGGAAUUACUGGGCGUAAAGGGCCAGUAGGCGGCCAACUAAGUCACACGUGAAAUCCCAGGCUUAACCUGGGAACUGCGUGUGAUACUGGAUGGCUUGAAUUCGGGAGAGGAUGCAGAAUUCCAGGUGUAGCGGUGAAAUGCGUAGAUAUCUGGAGGAAUACCGGUGGCGAAGGCGGCAUUCUGGACCAUUACUGACGCUGAGGAGCGAAAGCCAGGGGAGCAAACGGGG